RNAcentral lists this transfer RNA (74 nucleotides) under Mycoplasma sp. Mirounga ES2805-ORL. RNAcentral's name for it is "tRNA-Cys". It matches the Rfam family "tRNA". Rfam says of the family: Transfer RNA (tRNA) molecules are approximately 80 nucleotides in length. Their secondary structure includes four short double-helical elements and three loops (D, anti-codon, and T loops). The record is from RNAcentral. Lineage: Bacteria; Bacillati; Mycoplasmatota; Mollicutes; Mycoplasmatales; Mycoplasmataceae.
GGCACCAUAGCCAAACGGCCAGGCAAGAGUCUGCAAAACUUUCUAUGCGGGUUCGAGUCCCGCUGGUGCCUCCA